Molecule: unclassified non-coding RNA, 375 nt
Filed under: soil metagenome
Description: partial contains 5.8S ribosomal RNA, internal transcribed spacer 2, and large subunit ribosomal RNA
Rfam family: 5.8S ribosomal RNA (bases 1-120)
Source: RNAcentral
GAUGAAGAACGUAGCGAAAUGCGAUAAGUAAUGUGAAUUGCAGAAUUCAGUGAACCAUCGAAUCUUUGAACGCACAUUGCGCCCGGCAGUAAUCUGCCGAGCAUGCCUGUCCGAGCGUCAUUUCUCCCCUCGAGCGCAGCUUUCCCCCCCGGGGGAGGGCCGCGCCCGGUGUUGGGGCGCUACGGAGGAGCCCAGCGCUCCCCCGUAGGCCCCGAAAUGUAGUGGCGGUCCCGCCGCGGCGCCCCCUGCGUAGUAGUUUUACAACUCGCAUCGGGUCCCGGCGGAGGCCAGCCGUCAAACCCCCCAACUUCAAUAGUUUGACCUCGGAUCAGGUAGGGUUACCCGCUGAACUUAAGCAUAUCAAUAAGCGGAGGA